This 11466-nucleotide long non-coding RNA is filed under the name Aquilegia coerulea. RNAcentral's name for it is "long non-coding RNA (ACOE_LNC001333)". The record is from RNAcentral. Lineage: Eukaryota; Viridiplantae; Streptophyta; Magnoliopsida; Ranunculales; Ranunculaceae.
GCCUCCAAAUAAUUGGGCCCAAAAUUUUGUUACUGUUUGUUUUGUUCGAUUUAUCUUUUCUAAUUUUGUUUGGAUCUUGUUCGAUUUAUCAAUUUUGUUCGAAUGAUGUCGUUCUAGUUUUCUCUGAACUUAGAGAUCUGUUCGUUUUGUUCGAUUUAUCUUUUCUAAUUUUGCUUGGAUCUUGUUCGAUUUAUAAAUUUUGUUCGAAUGAUGUUGUUCUAGUUUUUUCUGAACUUAGAUCUAUUGUUACUGUUUGCUUUGUUAGAUUUAUCUUUUCUAAUUUUGCUUGGAUCUUGUUCGAUUUAUAAAUUUUGUUCGAAUGAUGUUGUUCUAGUUUUCUCUGAUUUAGAUCUAUUGUUCAAAUAUAAUAUUGCAAUUUUGACUUUGUAGGAAUCUGAAACUCACUACAAGAUUGCUCAUGAUAUUAUGGAAUAUAACAGUGAGGAACCUGAGGCUGAGGUAUAUAAUUCAAAAACUCAUGAUUAUAUAACGUUUUUAGUAUUCAAUAUUGUUGUUGCUUAUUACACAAUCCAAAAAUUAUUCUUUUUUUGUUAUUGAAUAAAACCCACUUCCUUACACUUUGGCACUUUGCUGUAUAGAUUUACAGUGAAUUCAAAGUUUGGUGCAUUGUUUAUUGUUAUAUAUAGCAAAAGGAAUAGUGUUUACUACUGAAUAGAUGAAAAAAAAAGUUAAGAGGUUAGGAAGAACUUUGAUGAACUAAUAGGAGUCAGAAAUUGGUUCUGGAGUUGAGACUUGUGAGGAAACUUCUGAAUUAUAUACUAUAAAAUGGCCAAUUUGUAGUGUUAUAAAUAAACAGAUGUUAAAUUCAUUAUAAAACAUAGACUGCAAUGCAAGGAUACUUCAUACUUUGAUGUACUUGACUUAUUUCAUGUCAUUUUUUUUUCUUCUUCUUCUGGUAUUUGUUAUUUUCUGAAAUUAGGUUGUCAAAGGCAUUCACAAUUAAAAUCCAUGACAUUGUGGGUUUUUGGGUUAGCAUGUAGUGGCAUCCAGUGGUAGAAUUAGAUGGUUCUCAUAUUCAUUAUACAUAAACUUGGAGAUUGUUUUCUUUUGUCAAUUUGAAUUCUACUAAUUAACACAUAUAUGACUUGAAAAACUUAUGCGUAUGGUUGUUUAUUUAUGCAUUCAUAUGCUUUUAUAUAGGAAUGUCCAUUGUUUUUAAUGUUUGGUGUUAUAUUGGUGUUUUUAUAGAUGAUAACUUGAUUGAGAAGCUGGUUGGUUUGUUCACUUACCACCAAAAAAAAAAAAAAAAUUGUAUUUCAAAAAAAAAAACAAAAACAAUUCAAGCCUCAGCCCAUGUCUUUUGGACGUUAUAUUAUGACCCCAUUCGGAUAUCAAAAAAUAAAACUAAGUGCGAGUUUUGUGAACACCAUGGAAUCACUGCACAGGAGAUUUGUGAACACCAUUGACUCACUGCACAUGCAGUAAUCUUUUGCAUGAGAAGCAAGUGUCUAAUCGACCACGAUUGUUACUUGGAUUUGAUGAAUCCAAACUCAAAUCUACGUCCACUUGGCAACUUACUUGAAAGAGACGGAACAAAGGAACAUUGAAAGAAACAAACUAGAAGGAAAUAUUUUCAGGCAAUGGCAAAGAUUGGAAAUGAACGGGAAAGAAACACGAAAAACACAGGAUGGAACGAUUUGAAUUGUUGUUUUAUAUGUAAUUUAGUAUCGUAUUUUUAUAUUUAAUUUAGUGUUGGAAAAUUUUCUUUUCUAGUGUACGAUGACUAGAUUCCCAUAGAAGUGAAUUUACUAUUCAUUUUGCCCAUUAAAAUACCAUUAAUGGUUGGAGAUUGUAGUUGCAUUACAAUUUUUCUAGUGAUAGAAUCUUCGUGGGUAACUGGGUAUGGGAUGUGUAGUAGUUGCAAUAGAUUACUUAUGGGUAGAGGAUAAAGUUUUUAGAAGGGGCUUACGUAUCUCUAUAAAUUUUGAGCUAAAAUAAGAGUCUAGUGGGGUCUAGCAAAGAGAGCGCACUUGUUUUUUUUUAAAUGUAAAUCGUUUGAUUUAUGUUAGCCUCAUAUUUUGUACUUAAAACCACCCUAGCAUUAAUUUUUGUGUGUGUUUUUUUUUUUUUUUUGAAAAUAAUAGACAAACCCAAGGAGUUCUUUACUGUGUAAGAAACAAGGAGCUCUUGCUAGAAGGCCUUAUAGAAUGAUGCAUAAUUUUAGUGGAACUACACAAGGUUUUAUAACUUGUAGCUAUAGUCUCUAUUUGAUUUUUUUGAUUGCAUAGUGGGUAAAAUUAAGUCUGUGCCAAUUUUAACGGAGAAAAAAAAUUGUACGAUAGAUAAAAAUGGGCAUUAACUAUUUAGCAAAUUUUAGUUGAGAAAUUUACUUGUUAAUCCUUCGUUGUUUUGUUGUACAAUAGAAAAACAAACGUAGUAUGGUAUAGCUCAUUUUAAAAAACAUAAAAACAUAUUUCUAGUAGGCUCUUUGUACAAUGGAUAAACAUAGUAUGGUAUAUCAAUAAAAAUUGUUUUUAUUAUUAAAAACAAAAAAAGAAAAUGGCAAAUAAAAGAUAACGGACAAAUCAUUUGUCCUAGAAAUUUUUUAAAAAUAUUUACAAAUUCAUUUACAGUGGACAAAUACAUCUAUUAUAGCCAUUUGCUAUUAAUAAAAAAAUUAAUUACACAAACUUAGAAAACAAUUAUGCUACAAAGUGUAUCACUAAUUGUUGAGGAUUUUAGUUAAACGAUGUUAUAAAAAAUGAACCCAAAUGAAUAAUUUUAGUUAAACUACUUUAUUUUAUAUAUUAUAGUCUUAAACACUAUUUGCAACAUACAUAUAUUUCUCAAAUCUCAACUAUUUUCAAAAAACAAUAAAUAUUAUUAUUGCAUUACAAAAGUGGAGUAUAGUUUUUUUUUCCCCAAACUAUCAUUACAUUUAAUCUUAAAUCCAUAAAAUAAAAAUAAAAUAAAGGCAAACAAAAUCGAUAACGGACAAAUCAAUUGUGCUGGAAAAAUUCUAAAAAUAUUUACAAAUUUAUUUACAGUGGGCAAAUACAUUUGCUAUAGCCAUUUGCUAUUAAUUAAAAAGUUAAUUACACAAACUUAGAAAACAACUGUGCUACAAAGUGUAUCGCAAUUGUUGAGGAUUUUAUUUAAAUUGUGUUAUAAAAAAUGAACCCAAAUGAAUAACUUUAGUUAAACUACUUUGUUUUAAAUCUUGUUAAAAAUUAAACCCAAUUGUUAUAUUGUCAAUGGUUGAACAUCCAUUUUAUUUUCAAAACAUCAAUUAAGUUUAUUUUACACAAGAUUAUGUUUUUAAAACAUCAUUUGAGUUAAUCUUCUAUAAAGUUUUGUUCUUUUUUUUUUUACGUGGUCAAUGUGCUUAAAUAUUUUGUUUAUUCAAUUAAGAAAAACUCAAACACAACAAAAAAGGUAGUCUAUGUAUUCAGCUUCAUUACUUAUAUAUUAUAGUCUCAAACACUAUUUACAAUAUGCAUAUACUUAUCAAAUCUCAAUUAUUUUUGACAAACAACAAAUAUCAUUAUUGCAUUGCAAAAGUGGAGUAUAAUUUUUUUUUUCAAACUAUCAUUACAUUUAAUCUUAAAUCCAUUAAAAAAAAAGCAAACAAAAUCGAAAACUAACAAAUCAAUUGUACUAGAAAAAUUCUAAAAUUAUUUAUAAAUUUGUUUACAGUGGACAAAUACAUAUGUUAUAGCCAUUUCCUAUUAAUAAAAAAAUUAAUUACACAAACUUAAAAAAUAACUGUGCUAUAAAGUGUAUUGCUAAUUGUUGAGGAUUUUAGUUAUACUGUGAUAUAAAAAAUGAACCCAAAUGAUUAAAGUUCAAUAACUUUGUUUUAAAUCUGGUAAAAAGUGACUUAAAUGAUAUAUUGCCAAUGGUUGAGCAUCCAUUUUAUUUUCAAAACAUCAAUUAAGUUUAUUAUAUACAAGAUUGUGUUUUUAAAACAUCAAUUGGGUUCAUCUUUUACAAUAGCCGUUAUUUCGUGCGAAAUGGUUUGGUACAUUACGGUGCGGAUAAAUAUGGACCAAGCAUUUUUUCACGUGUAGAAACUUAACAACCUGUUACCUGUAUUAUGUAAUACAGUCAACAUUGACUAGAGAAGAAAAAUCUUAUUACAUAAACCUUUCUAACCGGUUACCAAGUAAUGCAUAAACAGGUGUGUGGCUGAGAAUGGAUUUCGCACCAUAAGUACUAAGUUUUUUCGCAUUGAAUAAAAGUUACUUUUACAAGGUUUUGUUCUUCUUUUUACAUGAUUAAUAUGCUUAACUAUUUUGUUUAUUCAAUUAAGAAAAACUCGAACACAACAAAAAAAAUAAUCCAUAUACUCAACCUCAUUACUUAUACUAGCAGGAGAUGCCCGGGCAUAGCCCGGGCCGUGUUAGUCUAUUGCGAAGGGGUGUUUCUUACUUAAAAGGGGACAAUAAUGAUGCAAUUGAGCAAUUCAAUAUUAAAACACUAAAGGGGAAUAUAUAAGUAAAGUGUAGGUAGGAGCUCUUUGUCAACAUGGGAGUGAAGAAUGUAAGAAAAGUAUACGUAGGAUAAUUCAAGUGUAGAGAAGACUCGAAUAAUGUGGUUGAUAACAUAGUUUGUGAAAGAAGGUCUGAUGUAUACUUGUAUGUUGUCAUGAUUCAUUAGUUGAACUAAUUGUUUGAACUUCUGUAAGUUGGCCUGUCUAUUACUUGAAGUUGAAAUUGAGAAGAGGGAAGAUUAUAUUGAUGUAUGGAAACAGAAAAAGACAAAUUUAUAUUUGAAAUUUGAGUAAAAGAAGAGAAGUCCUGUGGUUGCUUUUGUUAGUUUAGUCUGUAGAAGAGGUUAUUGUACAUGUUUGUCGAUAUGCAAGUAAUUGUUUUUCCAAGAACCGAUGAAGUAGGAACAAAAGAUAGCAAAAAAAUUAGACGUGUAUAUAAACAAACCAGACAAAUAUUGAGUUGCAUUUGGAAGUUUACUUUGUUUGAGGAGAAAAAAAGUAGGUUCCUUUAUGAUUGGAAAAUUCAAUUUUGCAAUAUUUGGCACUGCAAUAUUUGACAUUGCAAUAUUGGACACUGAAAAGGGAACCGUAUUUAAGUUAGGACCAGUCUCAAAAAACAAAAGAGAACCAUAUUUGUUGAACUGGUUUUCUUAUAGUACAGGAGCAUAGAAGAAAAGAAAAUAGGAGUCAUUUAGCAUUGAGAUUCCAAUAAAAAAAUAUAUUUACAUUUUACAUGAAGUAUAUUAGACAAUUGUGUUGGAACAUGUUUUUUCAUUGUUGCAGAUCACGUACAUGAAGGAUAUGCUAUUUGCAGUUUUACAGGAAUAACAAUCAGCUUUCUCUUUAAUCUGUUUUCGGAGCUUGCAUAAAUCAUUUUGUUACUUAUGCGUGACAUGUUAGGAUUAUUGUAUACCAAAUAGAAGGGUUUUUAUUGAUGUAUUAGGUACCCAAAUUUUUUGAGUACAUGUGUAUUAGUGUAUUAGUGUAUUAGUGUAUUAGAGACACGUGUAUUAGUGUAUACAUGUAUCUAUACGCAUAAAAACAAUGUGUACAUUCUGGGAAGAUUUUUACUGUUUCCCCCUCCAUAAAUUCACCUAAACAAAUAGUUUGCAGUAGACGGAUAAGAGAUUAAUAGCAUCAAUUAUGACUUCAAGUAUGGCGCGAGAAAUAGUGGGGGAGACGUGUAGUAUUUUUGGAUUCAUUACAAAGUAGAUAUAAGGGCAUCAAUCAGUAAAGAAUGAGUGCAAAAUGAAGUGGUGUAGCUAUGAAAUGCUUGAUUGUAUGUAUUGUGACUAUUGCCUAUUGCCUACUUGAUAGAGAAUAUAUAUGCGGCUUGUCUAUUUGAUGGGACGGACUGGUUACGCAUCACAAAGUAGAUAUAAGGGCAUCAAUCAGUAAAGAAUGAGUGCAAAAUGAAGUGGUGUAGCUAUGAAAUGCUUGAUUGUAUGUAUUGUGACUAUUGCCUAUUGCCUACUUGAUAGAGAAUAUAUAUGCGGCUUGUCUAUUUGAUGGGACGGACUGGUUACGCUAAUUGCCUGUAUAAAUUUUACAGAGAGUGACGUGUGGCCAUAGGACUGAAUUUAUACUUGAUUGUAUAGACCUUAAAAGGGGAGCAACAAUAGUUGGUAUUAUAUCGAGAUAAGAACAAUCUGGAUAUUAAGGCAAUCGGAAAAUAAGUACGAAAAUUGGAAGUAUUAGGCUUUGAAAAUUAAGUAAACCUAAGCUACGGCCUGAGAAAAGUAGCAAAUUUAGUGGGCUGGACUUUUGGCAAGGGUGGACUUUGGCAAGGCUGGACUUUUGGCAAGGCUGGACUUUUGGCAAGGCUGGAGCGGGCUGGACUUUUGGCAAGGCUGGAGCGGGCUGGACUUUUGGCAAGGCUGGAGCGGGCUGGACUGUAGAAAGAGCAGAAGGACACGGAGGGAAUUAUAGGGAAGACGACGAUAUGGGGGGCAUGGACUGUAGAAAGGCCUUCGGCCAUUACAAAGUAGAUAUUAUAGUACAUAUACUUCUCAAAUCUCAACUAUUUUUGAAAAACAAUAAAUAUUAUUAUUGUAUUGUAUUGCAAAAGUGGAGUAUAAAUUUUUUUUUUUCAAACUAUCAUUACAUUUAAUCUUAAAUCCAUAGACUAACUUGUAUACUAACAUCUUGAUAAAUGAAUGUUUAGUAAAUAAAUAAUCUUGUUUAGGUGAUCAUUUUUUCUUUCGGUCCCAAUUUAGGUUAUGCAUUAAAUAAUAUCUUGUUUGGAAACCUUAUUGAUAUAUUUUGUAUGGAAUUCUAUAACUCAAAUUUUAUAAAAAAAAAAAAAAUACAAUAAAACCUCAAUAUGAUAGUACCCAAUUAAUUAAUAAUAUUUUUGAUUGCGAUUUGGAGAUAGUUUGCUAAUAUUUUUUGGAAAAAUCCUUAAAAGCCCAAUAAAUAUACAAAUUAAUUCUCACAAAAAAAUAUAAAUAUACAAAUUAAUAUUUUUUUGAUAAAUGAAUAUAUUUUAUGUUUUUAAAAAUAAAAGCUCAGCGUUGCUUUUUUUCUUCUUCUAUAAAUUGACGUCAAUUUGUAUUUGACCUCUAAUUUUCGUAAUGUGAUGAGUUGAUCUGAUGUUGUAUUCUUAUACUGUAAGGUGUUGUACUCUUGUAUUACAAAAAAAUAUUGUUCAAAGUCAUUAUCGGUUUAGUGUUUUUUUCUUUUUCGUGGAACUAUUUAUUUAGUAGAACAUUCAUCUUUAACUUCGUAGUUUUAUCCAAAAAAUAAAUAAAUUAGUGUACUUAAUUCUAUAAAUUAAUAUCUCACUUAAUUAACAAUUUUUUCUGAACCCAAGACUAUUAAUUGAUCAAGGUUUUACUGUACUAUCUAAAACUUGUACUUAAACCAUAUUUUACUCUAAUUAAAUUCUGAUAAAAAAAAAAAAAAAAAACUCCAAAUUGCAUGUCUUUACAUCAAAUGAUCAAAGUGCAUUAACAAAAUUUUCCUCUUUGAUGUCCCUUGGGUGUUUUCAUCUACACUGCAUUUAAAUUUAUAGAUUUUUUUGACAUAUCCCACUUUCAAAAUGGAUUUUACAGAUACCCCCAUUUAGAAAAAAAAAAAAAUUCCUCCAUUUCAAGAUACAAGAGAUUUAUAACCUCGGAUGGCAGAUAACACCUUCAAAUUGGAGUAGGACAAAAAAUCUCUUAAGAUUUAUAAAACACCAGUAGUAAAAGAAAUUGUGUAAGUGAUAAAUAGUAAUUUAUUAAUAGAUUACUAAAUUAUUCAUAUAUUUAUAAAUAAAAACCUUACAAAAAUAAUAUUUUAUAAUGCUCUAAAGGGUUUUUUUUUUUUUUGAUAAAUAAAGGCUUUUCUUAUUACAAGGGUAUGUAUUAAUCUAAUUUUUAUAAACCCCCACAAUUUAUUGGAACCAAAUUUUUGGGCUCAAUUGUUCUUUUUUUUUUAAAACAAAACUAUCAAAUAUAUAUUUAUUUAUAUUACAACAACUACAUUCAGAAAUAUAACAGCAAUAGAUAAUAAUAAUAAUAAUAAUAAUAAUAAUAAUAAUAAUAAUAAUAAUAAUAAUAAUAAUAGAAACACUUCUGGAUAUAAUGAAUCCACUAGAAAAUGGAAAUAGACACAAGCCCUCCUUCAAUAUACAUUUAGCCUUUCGGUGACUUUUUAACCACAAAACAUUAUUUUAUUUUUUUAUCGUAGAUUCAAUAUCUUCUUAAAUGCUCUUUAUUUGAAAAAUUAUUAUCUGUGUGGGUGGGGUUUGGGAGGGGGAAGGAGUAAGGGUUAGGGUAGGAGUUUGUAAACUUCUGAUAUUCUAAUUCUUAGAUGUGUCUCCUACUCUCCUUGAGCAUGGCUAGCGGCACAUUAGAUGGCUUGACCUCACCUUGAUCCAUGAUAGAAAAAGGUACCCGCAACUCUGAACCAAAGCCAUUGCCCCCAAUGUCGCAUCUUGCAUGCAUAAGGUGAAAAAAAUAGACAGUCAGCUUCUUACGAUUCUGAAAAAUCAAGAAUAGACAAUAUUUUCCCAGGUAAGGUCUGCUAAGUCUGGUUAAUUAAAGAGUAGUGAUUUGUGAAGCAGCCUCCACUACCUCUCCUAUUCCCACAUAACAACCCGAUAACUUUAUUUUGUCUAUCUGUUUCACACCUGCAGAAAUAUACAAACAUCACAUAAUUUAAUUAUUAAUGUAAAGACAGGAAAAUAUUACUAAAAAGUAUUUCAUGAGACGACCAGUUUAAACACUUCAAAGCUGUAACAUGUAGAUGGACCAUGGUGGUCCACUGUAUUUGAGGGUUGUGGGGAGAUUAGGCUAGACAAUGCUCCAUUUUAAAACUACUUGCAAAUAAACUAUAUAUUCAGGCUAGAAGUUUCUUUCACUGUCAAUUUCUUUUAUAAUUUGGUUACUUUGAGGGUACAGAUUUUUUUUUUAUUAUUAUUAUUAUUGAUGUUUUAGGAGUUAUAAUCCCAGAAGUGGAACUUGAAGAAGAUUUACCUAAGAACAUAGAACCAAUGAUAUUAAGAGAUUUGAGGUCUAUAUGAAAAAACCACCCAAAUACAGAAAUUGAAGGUGGAGAAUAAAUUCUCAAUCUAAAGCAUUCUGGGAUCGUCAUGAGUUUGAAAUACAGAAAAUGAAGGUUGGUCGUGAGUUUCAAAUAAAAGGUGGUUAGUAUAUCUUCAGUGUUUCACCUCUAUCCUGUGGUAUCCUUUAACUCUCUUCACUUGACAAGCCGCAGGAUACCACUUGCCUAAUGGAAAAGGCAAGAGCUACUGAACUGACCAUCCUUUAUUCAACCAAUCCUAUAUAACUUCAGAACUUAGAGGCCUAACCAAGUCAACUUCUUAAACUUAAGGAUUUGGACGGCUUACUUAGCAAGCCUUUCCCCUCAAAUUACAAGUGUAAAAGGAAGAACCAUGUAGAAGUAACCAUUUUUUUUUUCUGCAACUACUGGUGAUCCUUCUUGAAGCCAAGCCAAAAACUUAUAGAAAUCUCAAUGCUUCUAUUUUCGUGUUAGACAGAUGAGUCCCUCAUCAUUAUCAGGAUAGACUGCUUUCAAAAUGAAAGUUACAUAUGCAUACAUAACAUCUGAGCUGUUAUGAAUGAUACUGAUAAUAAUAAUCACCCUGCAUUUCUGAUAUGCAUUAUUUCUAAAAAAACGCUAUGCUUUGAUGUUUCUAAACUUAGGUUACAACGAACUGUCCUAAAAAAUAGAAAACUGCAGCUUAAGUGACUUGUAAUUUAUUGUUUCUACAACCACAGUUACUUCUUUGGUUUUGCUCUAGUGCCAUCUCUCUAUUUUGUUCAGGUUUUUUAUGUGCUUCUUUGACAUUUAUGCUUCUUUAAGUAAUAUUUGUUUUUGCUAUAGUGCUAUCUCUCUAUUUUGUUCAUUUUUUUUAUGUGCUUCUUUGACAUUUAUGCUUGUUUAGUAUAUUUAUAUGAAACAUUUUAUUUAGGUAAUUAUAUUUUAUCUAGAGAAUCAUAACCAAAGUUUUCAUCAAGGGCUUACACUUUGAGGCUUCAAAGAGAAAAUAGGCUUUUAAGUUUCAACGUUUUUUCAUAGAGUUUAAGUUUUAACAUUGAGACGCCAUUUGGAUGAAAAUUUAAGUGAAUUGGGGUGGUGUAGCUAAAUUUAGUAGGCAAGUAAACAAACAAGUAUAUCAAACAUAGCACCAAAUCUCAAGUUUUAAUAGUGGUCUUUUAAGAAAUAAAGAUUAAAGUUUUAAAAAAAAAAUUCAUCAACAAACAGCAAUUUCAGGUUUUAGAAAAGUUCUUAUCUUUAUGCUAAUUCCCCCAUAUCUUGAAUUUAACAAAUCAACUAUUUUCCACAGAUCUAAUAUAUCUAAUUAAAAUAGAAAAUUUUAAUAAGAUACAGUCUUCUAACUUCUUAUUUCUUCUAACAACUGGGAAGUGCUCCUACUACCCUGAUACUGUUAUCUGUCAUCUGCUCUUUUUUCUUUCUUUUUUCUUCUUUUUUGGUUAGGUGAAAUUCUGUUUCACCAGUUUUUCAACCACCUGACGACACACUACAGUGUGGGCUGAUCAGGCUUGUAUCUUUUUUGAUAUCAAUAAAUUUCUGAAUUUAUCAAAAAAAAAACAGUCUAUAAAGAUUCUAAGAGAUAAAGAGGAGAUUCAAUUUUUAUAAAAGAACGAAAGAAAAAAAAAAGUCAGUUUUUAUAUAGAAAGCCCUCACCUGAUGCAAGCAGAAAUUCUGAGAGAGUUUAUCCACUUGAUCAAACAGAAAUUCUGAUUGAUUGAUUGUCUCUUGGCAUCUAAUUUGAUUAUCUGUGUACUGUCACUGGUUUGUGUGAAUUGUUUAGGUUUUUUUUUACUAACAAUGAGAAUGAGAAUGGGCGAGAUAAUGAUCGAAUGGUCAGGUUAUAAAAAAAUAAAAUAAAAUAAAAGUCUCUAAUUUAGAUUGGGCCAUGGGUAGUUGUCAAUUAGAUAAGAAUGGUCGACUUUAUAGUUUGGGCUUUGGCCUGGGUACAGUUCAUUUUACUUUUUGAGUCUUAAUGUAACCAAACUGUUUUGUGUAAUGUUAACAGACAUAUAUCCGUAGAAAUGUCCAGCAUUUAGACCAAUUCAAAUUUGAAGGUACUGAGAUGAACAAAGGGGAGUUUAAUAGUUUGGAUGAUCUUUAUCAAAUGAUCAAGACAGAUGCUGAUAAAGCUGAAGAUACUAAGCUUGAAUUUCAAGAGCUGGAUUCAGGGGACGAGUACAAACCACUCAACCAGAAGAAUUGGGGUCGCUUUCAAACAUACGGGAGAAAGGUAAGAAAGGUUUAAGUGUUCCUUGAAAUAGAUGGACAUCUUCACAUCACUUGUUUAGCUGAGAACUUUUCUUGGUUAUGUCUGUUCAACUUUUACAUUUUCAAAACUUUUUUUCUUGUUUGGAACUCUUAGUAUUUUGUAUGUUUUAUGACUUUAUCAAAUAGAAUAGUAGUCCUUAGACCAUUACAGUGCUAUAUUCUUGAGUUUAACUUGCUACUAGUUGAAAUAUUUAUUCUGUUUUAUUUAUUUAGUAUGAUAGUAAGCACUUAUUGAUGAAGAG